GUUUGAUCAUGGCUCAGAUUGAACGCUGGCGGCAGGCCUAACACAUGCAAGUCGAACGGUAACAGGAAACAGCUUGCUGUUUCGCUGACGAGUGGCGGACGGGUGAGUAAUGUCUGGGAAACUGCCUGAUGGAGGGGGAUAACUACUGGAAACGGUAGCUAAUACCGCAUAACGUCGCAAGACCAAAGAGGGGGACCUUCGGGCCUCUUGCCAUCAGAUGUGCCCAGAUGGGAUUAGCUAGUAGGUGGGGUAACGGCUCACCUAGGCGACGAUCCCUAGCUGGUCUGAGAGGAUGACCAGCCACACUGGAACUGAGACACGGUCCAGACUCCUACGGGAGGCAGCAGUGGGGAAUAUUGCACAAUGGGCGCAAGCCUGAUGCAGCCAUGCCGCGUGUAUGAAGAAGGCCUUCGGGUUGUAAAGUACUUUCAGCGGGGAGGAAGGGAGUAAAGUUAAUACCUUUGCUCAUUGACGUUACCCGCAGAAGAAGCACCGGCUAACUCCGUGCCAGCAGCCGCGGUAAUACGGAGGGUGCAAGCGUUAAUCGGAAUUACUGGGCGUAAAGCGCACGCAGGCGGUUUGUUAAGUCAGUGUGAAAUCCCCGGGCUCAACCUGGGAACUGCAUCUGAUACUGGCAAGCUUGAGUCUCGUAGAGGGGGGUAGAAUUCCAGGUGUAGCGGUGAAAUGCGUAGAGAUCUGGAGGAAUACCGGUGGCGAAGGCGGCCCCCUGGACGAAGACUGACGCUCAGGUGCGAAAGCGUGGGGAGCAAACAGGAUUAGAUACCCUGGUAGUCCACGCCGUAAACGAUGUCGACUUGGAGGUUGUGCCCUUGAGGCGUGGCUUCCGGAGCUAACGCGUUAAGUCGACCGCCUGGGGAGUACGGCCGCAAGGUUAAAACUCAAAUGAAUUGACGGGGGCCCGCACAAGCGGUGGAGCAUGUGGUUUAAUUCGAUGCAACGCGAAGAACCUUACCUGGUCUUGACAUCCACGGAAGUUUUCAGAGAUGAGAAUGUGCCUUCGGGAACCGUGAGACAGGUGCUGCAUGGCUGUCGUCAGCUCGUGUUGUGAAAUGUUGGGUUAAGUCCCGCAACGAGCGCAACCCUUAUCCUUUGUUGCCAGCGGUCCGGCCGGGAACUCAAAGGAGACUGCCAGUGAUAAACUGGAGGAAGGUGGGGAUGACGUCAAGUCAUCAUGGCCCUUACGACCAGGGCUACACACGUGCUACAAUGGCGCAUACAAAGAGAAGCGACCUCGCGAGAGCAAGCGGACCUCAUAAAGUGCGUCGUAGUCCGGAUUGGAGUCUGCAACUCGACUCCAUGAAGUCGGAAUCGCUAGUAAUCGUGGAUCAGAAUGCCACGGUGAAUACGUUCCCGGGCCUUGUACACACCGCCCGUCACACCAUGGGAGUGGGUUGCAAAAGAAGUAGGUAGCUUAACCUUCGGGAGGGCGCUUACCACUUUGUGAUUCAUGACUGGGGUGAAGUCGUAACAAGGUAACCGUAGGGGAACCUGCGGUUG
This 1518-nucleotide ribosomal RNA is filed under the name metagenome. RNAcentral's name for it is "bacterial SSU rRNA". It matches the Rfam family "Bacterial small subunit ribosomal RNA". The record is from RNAcentral.